GAAUAUUGCACAAUGGGCGCAAGCCUGAUGCAGCAACGCCGCGUGAGUGAAGAAGUAUUUCGGUAUGUAAAGCUCUAUCGGCAGGGAAGAAAGGCCCGAAAGGGAGAUGACGGUACCUGACUAAGAAGCCCCGGAUAACUACGUGCCAGCAGCCGCGGUAAUACGUAGGGGGCAAGCGUUAUCCGGAUUUACUGGGUGUAAAGGGAGCGCAGACGGCAUUACAAGUCUGAUGUGAAAGCCCGGGGCUCAACCCCGGAACUGCAUUGGAAACUGUAGAGCUCGAGUGUCGGAGGGGUAAGCGGAAUUCCUAGUGUAGCGGUGAAAUGCGUAGAUAUUAGGAGGAACACCGGUGGCGAAGGCGGCUUACUGGACGACUACUGACGUUGAGGCUCGAAAGCGUGGGGAGCAAACA
Molecule: ribosomal RNA, 412 nt
Filed under: uncultured bacterium
Lineage: Bacteria
Description: partial 16S ribosomal RNA
Rfam family: Bacterial small subunit ribosomal RNA
Source: RNAcentral